GUGACACAGCUGUGUCCCAGCUGUCCCCGUGUCCCCGCUGUCCGUCACUGUCCCCAGCUGUCCCAGGUGUGACCCAGGUGUGACACAGCUGUCCCCAUGUCCUGGUGUCCCCAUGUCUGUCACUGUCCCCCAAACAGGUCCUCGUUGUCCCCGUGUCCCCGAUGUCCCCAGCUGUCCCCAGGUGUGACCCAGGUGUGACCCAGGUGUGUCCCUCACUGUCCCCCGAACAGGUCCUCGUUGUCCCCGUGUCCCCAGGUG
Passer montanus (Eurasian tree sparrow) is the source of this 258-nucleotide long non-coding RNA. RefSeq lists it as uncharacterized. Lineage: Eukaryota; Metazoa; Chordata; Aves; Passeriformes; Passeridae. The record is from RefSeq and is a predicted model, not a curated record. The transcript is spliced from 3 exons.